Molecule: ribosomal RNA, 303 nt
Filed under: uncultured bacterium
Lineage: Bacteria
Description: partial 16S ribosomal RNA
Rfam family: Bacterial small subunit ribosomal RNA
Source: RNAcentral
AGCAGUCGCCACGGUAAUACGUAGGUGGCAAGCGUUGUCCGGAAUUAUUGGGCGUAAAGCGCGCGCAGGUGGUUUAAUAAGUCUGAUGUGAAAGCCCACGGCUCAACCGUGGAGGGUCAUUGGAAACUGUUAAACUUGAGUGCAGGAGAGAAAAGUGGAAUUCCUAGUGUAGCGGUGAAAUGCGUAGAGAUUAGGAGGAACACCAGUGGCGAAGGCGGCUUUUUGGCCUGUAACUGACACUGAGGCGCGAAAGCGUGGGGAGCAAACAGGAUUAGAUACCCCGGUAGUCCCUGUCUCUUAUAC